UAGAUACGACAGGGGAGCGCCGCCGUCGGGCAUCACCGGAGAAAUCCGGGGGAACCACAGGUGGGCGCUGAGAGUGCGGACAGCCGCAGACCCUCGAACCUGAUCCGGUUAGUACCGGCGCAAGGGAGUCGAGUUCUCAGAGUG
Arthrobacter sp. Leaf69 is the source of this 144-nucleotide regulatory RNA element. It matches the Rfam family "TPP riboswitch aptamer (THI element)". Rfam says of the family: Vitamin B(1) in its active form thiamin pyrophosphate (TPP) is an essential coenzyme that is synthesised by coupling of pyrimidine and thiazole moieties in bacteria. The previously detected thiamin-regulatory element, thi box was extended, resulting in a new, highly conserved RNA secondary structure, the THI element, which is widely distributed in eubacteria and also occurs in some archaea. The record is from Rfam. Lineage: Bacteria; Bacillati; Actinomycetota; Actinomycetes; Micrococcales; Micrococcaceae.